UACGUAGGUGGCGAGCGUUGUCCGGAAUUAUUGGGCGUAAAGCGCGUGUAGGCGGUUCGGUAAGUCCGCCGUGAAAACCUGGGGCUCAACCCUGGGCGUGCGGUGGAUACUGCCGGGCUAGAGGGUGGUAGAGGCGAGUGGAAUUCCUGGUGUAGCGGUGAAAUGCGCAGAUAUCAGGAGGAACACCGGUGGCGAAGGCGGGUCUCUGGGCCGUUACUGACGCUGAGACGCGAAAGCGUGGGGAGCAAACAGG
Molecule: ribosomal RNA, 253 nt
Filed under: uncultured bacterium
Lineage: Bacteria
Description: partial 16S ribosomal RNA
Rfam family: Bacterial small subunit ribosomal RNA
Source: RNAcentral